UACGGGGGGGGCAAGCGUUGUUCGGAAUUACUGGGCGUAAAGGGCUCGUAGGCGGCCAACUAAGUCAUACGUGAAAUCCCUCGGCUUAACCGGGGAACUGCGUCUGAUACUGGAUGGCUUGAGUUCGGGAGAGGGAUGCGGAAUUCCAGGUGUAGCGGUGAAAUGCGUAGAUAUUAGGAAGAACACCAGUGGCGAAGGCGGCUCACUGGCCCGGUACUGACGCUGAGGCGCGAAAGCGUGGGGAGCAAACAGG
Molecule: ribosomal RNA, 253 nt
Filed under: uncultured bacterium
Lineage: Bacteria
Description: partial 16S ribosomal RNA
Rfam family: Bacterial small subunit ribosomal RNA
Source: RNAcentral